Molecule: non-coding RNA, 75 nt
Organism: Podarcis lilfordi (Lilford's wall lizard)
Lineage: Eukaryota; Metazoa; Chordata; Lepidosauria; Squamata; Lacertidae
Source: the annotation of a GenBank genome assembly
AUCUGGAUAGCUCCAUUGGUUAGAGCGUGGUUCUGAUACCACCAAGGUUACAGGUUUGAUUUCCUGUAUGGGACA